This 457-nucleotide ribosomal RNA is filed under the name uncultured bacterium. Its description in RNAcentral is "bacterial SSU rRNA". It matches the Rfam family "Bacterial small subunit ribosomal RNA", at positions 340 to 788 of the family's 1533-position model. The record is from RNAcentral.
UACGGAAGGCAGCAGGGGGGAAUAUUGCACAAUGGGCGCAAGCCUGAUGCAGCCAUGCCGCGUGUAUGAAGAAGGCCUUCGGGUUGUAAAGUACUUUCAGUCGUGAGGAAGGUGUUAAGGUUAAUAACCUUAGCAAUUGACGUUAGCGACAGAAGAAGCACCGGCUAACUCCGUGCCAGCAGCCGCGGUAAUACGGAGGGUGCGAGCGUUAAUCGGAAUUACUGGGCGUAAAGGGCACGCAGGCGGUUAAUUAAGUUGGAUGUGAAAUCCCCGGGCUUAACCUGGGAAUGGCAUUCAAGACUGGUUAGCUAGAGUCUUGUAGAGGGGGUAGAAUUCCAUGUGUAGCGGUGAAAUGCGUAGAGAUGUGGAGGAAUACCGGUGGCGAAGGCGGCCCCUGGACAAAGACUGACGCUCAUGUGCGAAAGCGUGGGGAGCGAAACAGGGAUUUAGAUACCCG